UUUUAAACCAAUAGCCAGUCCCUAACCUACUCUGAUUAAACCCAAACAAAUUUAACUCCAAACAAAAACUUGACCAAAAAAAUUGGAAGAGGAAGAUGAGUGAGAAUGAAACCCUAGCAGAUCUAUUCGCCACCGCAGUAUUCAUCUCUUUGCUAUUGCCACCAUCAAGCUCGCUGUAGCGUCUGAGAUCAGAGGGAGAGUAACCAGCGAUGCCCGUGACACUAUCCUUGCCAAGGUCCAGGAGCAGGUUUCCAUCCUCAACUCCACUUUCUCAUAGAAGGAGUCAGAUCAAGCCGCUGCCAAGUGCGCCACUCACACGCUCCCCAAUCUUGCCAAAACGAGGAAGUGGUGAAUGUGAUUAUCGAAGGCAGAGCUAUUCCUUCGGCGCGUCUCCUAAGAUCACGACACAGUAACUUUUGAGAUCUCCUUCUGCGUUCUUUUGUGCAUUCCUAUGGAAGCUUAUUUUUUGUUAAUUUUGUGAUUUCCUCUACAUUAAUUAAGUUUAAUUGAUUACUUCUCUAAUUUCUGAUUUGGCUUGUUACUUUUGCGAUUAUUUAGUAACUUGAUGGCGAUACAAUUAGUGUUGAUAUUUUUGCUUAUCCUAGUUUGAUUCUGAUUUUUAUGUUGAAAUAUACAUAUGGAUAAGCAGAAUGAGAUCCUUAUGGAAGCCUAUAGAUCAAUGCUCCAUGAAUGGCAAAAACUUCAAGUUCUUUGCUUGGCACUACCCCUGAAUUUUCCUGUCUCUAAUUUAAUUUGUGCUUUUUUACUAUUUUAGCUAUUCUCUUUGAAAUAGAAAUUACAUUCUUCAUUUAGAUAGUCCUAAUUUGAUGUAUUUUUCAGUAACAAAUAACAAAUGUGAUGUUUGUAAGAGAGAAAGUACUUUCUGGUAUCUAUUGGGAUUGUGAUACUAAUUUCUGGUGGCAUGUAUCAAUGAAUUUUCGAAUAAUGAUUUAUUUUUCUGUGUGACAUGUUUUUAUUAAUUCAUCAACACUAAUUCAUCAUUAAAUUAUAGAGUUCUAAUUAAUAUGUCAAAGAAGAAAUGCUUAUGCAUAAGCUCUAUGAUAUUAUGUCAGCUCAUGGUCUAACUAAAAAGGUAUCUUGAUCAUUCAUCUCAUCUCUUCUAUAAGAAUUCCAUUCUGCUUAUCCUCUCCCCUGAAGAAUGCAAGGUUGAAAGAUAAGUUAGAGGAGUUUUUUCAACUGUCAAUACGAGCUCUUUGUUAUUCACUGCUCUAAUCAUGUUAAUACUCUAUCUUAAGGACCAUCAAUUGCUUGUUGGUUGUUACUUCUUUUACAAUAUUUACCUUAUUGUAUUUAUGAAUCAUCAAACAGCUGGAGUAGAGGUACAAGCAUUGGGUGUCAUAGUGAUGAUAACAAACGCUACCUCAAACAAUGGCACUUUGCAGUCAGGAUUCCACUUUCCAUUACUCCUCUCUUUUAUUGAAUUUUAUUUAAUACUAUUGCUGGCAAUUUUGGUUCAUCAAAGGUGGUGUGCUAUUUAAAUAAUUAUGGCAAGGAUUUCAAUGGUGGACUCUUUCGUUUCUAGAAUGGCCAGUCAAUGUCAAUUAUGCCAAUGGCUGAAGAUAUUCUGAUGUAUACUGCUGACCAGCGUAACAUUCAAUUUGUUGAUGAGCAUCUACCAGUGGUAAAUAUGAAACUUUAGGAUCCACAGCUGCUAGUGCUUCUGGCCUUCUGGCAAUUAUGGUGGCAAAAUCGAUGGAAUUCUCUUAUCAAGAACUAGCCAAGGCUACAAAUAACUUCAGCUCUGAUAACAAAAUUGGUCAGGGUAGAUUCUGAGCUGUCUAUUUUGCAGAAUUGAGAGGCCAUAAAGCAACAAUUAAGAAGAUGGAUGUUCAAGCAUCAACAGAGUUUCUUUCAGAGUUGAAGGUCUUAAAACAUGUUCAUCACUUGAAUUUGGUGCAUUUGAUUGGAUAUUGCGUCGAAGGAUCUCUCUCCUUGUGUAUGAAUACAUUGAAAAUGAAAACUUAGGCCAAUAUUUGCAUGGUACAGGGAGAGAACCUUUGGCAUGGUCAACAAGGGUGCAAAUUGCUCUGGAUUCAGCAAGAGGAAUUGAAUAUAUACAUGAACACACUGUUCCUGUUUAUAUCCACCGUGAUGUGAAACCUGCUAACAUAUUAAUAUAUAAAGACUUCCGUGAAAAGGUUGCAAAUUUUGGGCUAACUAAACUUUGGGAAGUUGGAAGCUCUUUAUCACUUCAUACUCGUCUUGUGAGAACAUUUGGAUACAUGCCUCCAGUUGGAUCAGAAUGCUUCAACCAGCUAAAGGUUGUUACGGCCGUAGCACCAACAAUACUUCUGGCAAUCAAAUCAGAAGAAAACAAGCUACAAGAAGUCAUGGUUGGAUUAGCAGCAAAUGUUUUCACAUUCAUGUCCUCUCAGGAAUCAAGCUCUGUAUUUUAAGAAGCUGGAAUCACUGAAGUUGAACUGGCAAGUAUACUAGUACAUAUUCUCAAGAAGCACAAGUAUCCGGCAACAAAGAUGCUGAGGAUAAGGAGGUUUGCCAUAGAGUUUGCGAUUUGAAUGAUGAAAGACAAAGCAGAAAACAUAGAUACCUUCAAGCAUAUGGGAAUGGAGAAGGUGCUGGAAGGUGUAUUAGAAACCACAUCAGAGCUUGAAAGGUUCAAUGUUUUCUUUGGUACUGUUGGAUUGAACAGGCACAAUCUAACAAUUCACUCACUGGUUGAGACAGCCUUUAAGUUGCUAGAAAAAAGGUAAAGUAAUACAUCACUUUUGAACCAUAUUGUAAAAUCAAUAAUCCAUGUUAACCUUGAGCAAAAAUUGUAAAUUUGUAACACUGUACACUGUUGUUUUUUUUGUAUAAAUGUGUAUUAUCCCACAUUAAUUUUGAUUUUGGUUUUUGGUUC
This is a non-coding RNA of Arachis ipaensis, 2881 nucleotides long. NCBI's taxonomy places the organism in Eukaryota, Viridiplantae, Streptophyta, Magnoliopsida, Fabales, Fabaceae. The record is from RefSeq and is a predicted model, not a curated record.